Molecule: ribosomal RNA, 997 nt
Filed under: uncultured Verrucomicrobiota bacterium
Lineage: Bacteria; Pseudomonadati; Verrucomicrobiota
Description: bacterial SSU rRNA
Rfam family: Bacterial small subunit ribosomal RNA
Source: RNAcentral
GUGCCAGCCGCCGCGGUAAUACGAAGGUCCCAAGCGUUGUUCGGAAUCACUGGGCGUAAAGGGAGCGUAGGCGGCGUGGUAAGUCAGAUGUGAAAUCCCGGGGCUCAACCCCGGAACUGCAUCCGAUACUGCCAUGCUAGAGGAUUGGAGAGGUGACUGGAAUUCUCGGUGUAGCAGUGAAAUGCGUAGAUAUCGAGAGGAACACUCGUGGCGAAAGCGAGUCACUGGACAAUUCCUGACGCUGAGGCUCGAAGGCUAGGGUAGCGAAAGGGAUUAGAUACCCCUGUAGUCCUAGCAGUAAACGGUGCACGCUUGGUGUGAGGGGAAUCGACCCCCCUUGUGCCGGAGCUAACGCGUUAAGCGUGCCGCCUGGGAAGUACGGUCGCAAGACUAAAACUCAAAGAAAUUGACGGGGACCCGCACAAGCGGUGGAGUAUGUGGCUUAAUUCGAUGCAACGCGAAGAUCCUUACCUAGGCUUGACAUGCAUCUCUAAUCACGUGAAAGCGUGUGACCCUUCGGGGAAUUUGCACAGGUGCUGCAUGGCCGUCGUCAGCUCGUGUCGUGAGAUGUUGGGUUAAGUCCCGCAACGAGCGCAACCCUUGUGACUAGUUGCCAGCACGUAAUGGUGGGAACUCUAGUCAGACUGCCCAGAUCAACUGGGAGGAAGGUGGGGACGACGUCAGGUCAGUAUGGCCCUUACGCCUAGGGCUGUACACGUACUACAAUGCCCAGCACAAUGAGAACCAAUACCGCGAGGUGGAGGAAAUCUGUAAAACUGGGCCCAGUUCGGAUUGGAGGCUGCAACUCGCCUCCAUGAAGUUGGAAUCGCUAGUAAUGGCGCAUCAUCUACGGCGCCGUGAAUACGUUCCCGGGUCUUGUACACACCGCCCGUCACAUCAUGGAAGCCGGUCGCACCCGAAGUGCUCGCACCAACCGCAAGGGGGUAGAGUCCUAAGGUGUAGCUGGUAACUGGGAUGAAGUCGUAACAAGGUAACC